RNAcentral lists this long non-coding RNA (1060 nucleotides) under Homo sapiens (human). RNAcentral describes it as "HSALNT0261516". Lineage: Eukaryota; Metazoa; Chordata; Mammalia; Primates; Hominidae. The record is from RNAcentral.
UUGUGCCCCAGCCGUCACCACGAGACGCUCUCCCUGGCAGCCUACCUUCUCUCAACCUGGGCCCCAGAAUGAGAUGCUUGGAGCGGACCUGAGCCAGCCAGACCUGCAGCUUCAAGCAGAGCAGCCCUAGAAAAGUCUGGCUAGGCCGGGUGCAGUGGCUCACGCCUGUAAUCCCAGCACUUUGGGAGGCCAAGGCAGGUGAAUCACUUGAGACAUGUCUCCAAGGAAACUCAUGUAAAGAUGUUCAUAGCAACAUUGUUUGUAAAAGCAAAGAAACCAAGAAUAACCCAAAUGUCCAGCAAGAGGAGAGCGGACAAAGAAACGCCGAGUUCUAUGGAAUACUACUGCAGCUUUUAAAAGGAAGAGGACAAGCUCUUUAAAUAAAUCUGGAUAGAUUUCCAAGACAUAUUGUUGAGUUAAAAAAGCAAGCUGCAGAACAAUAUGUACAGUAGGAUCCCAUUUAUGUUAAAAGACACUCAUAUGCUUGCUCAAAACAAUACUACUCAUUUACUAUACAAUACUAUGCAUAUACUCUAUUACCACACACGCACACACAUGCACACACAUGCAUGCACACACACACAUGCAGCAUGCACUCACUUUUAGACAAAGAUCCAGAAGGAUCAACCAUAAACCAAUAAUCAUGGUUACUUCCAGAGAAGAGAUGUAGAUGAGAGAGAGGUGACCAAAGGGAAUUUUAGCUUUGCCUGUAAGCUUUUUUUAAGAAGCAAGGAAAGUCUAUCUGUAUAUUAUUUGUACAAUUUAAAAGUAAUUUUCCUUUUCUUUUUUUUUUUUUUUUUGAGAUAGGGUCUUGCUCUGUCACCCAGACUGGAGUGCUGUGGCAUGAUCAUGGCUCACUGCAGCUUCAAACUCCUGGGCUCAAGUGAUCCUCCCAUCUCGGACUCCUCGGUAGCUGGGACUACAGGUGAGCGCCACCAUGCCCAGCUAAUUUUUGCUUUUUUUUUUCUGUAGAGAUGGGGUCUUGCCAUGUUGUCCAUGUCGGUCUUGAACUCCUGGGCUCAAGUGAUCCUCCCACCUCGGCCUCCCAAAGUGCUGGGAU